Hordeum vulgare subsp. vulgare (domesticated barley) is the source of this 1884-nucleotide RNA transcript. It is a transcript of the gene named DNA topoisomerase 2-like, with no coding region annotated. The record is from RefSeq and is a predicted model, not a curated record. Lineage: Eukaryota; Viridiplantae; Streptophyta; Magnoliopsida; Poales; Poaceae. The transcript has 7 exons.
GAGAGAGAGAGAGAGAUGACGACGGCGGCGCGGCCGACGUGGGCGCCGGCGAAGGGCGGGAACGAGCAGAGGGGAACGCGCAUCUUCGGGCCCUCCGGGAAGUACCCCUCCCGCGACCUCGCCGCCCACACUUCCCUCAAGCCCAGGUUCGCCGUUUUGCCGAUUUCAGUUUCCGGGAUCCCCGAUGGCGAGACACAGUCAGAUACUCAGUACGCGGUGCCGCUUUGCUCUCCGCCUUCAGGCGCUAGACAUGCACAUACACCUCACCAGUUAUCCAGCCUAAUUACAGACGAGUCCAUAUCACACCAUUGGGUCAUCGCUCAACACCCUACCACCAUAGCCGAUCCUAUUAUCCAAGAUAAUGUAGAAAAUGGGCCUCACCCUCCCCGAGGAAAGACAGGUGCCAAGUACAUUAUCAGGGAAGAUGGCCAGAGGCUGGAUCUUCGUUAUGUGAAGAAAAGUAGUGAUCAGCAUCUGGAGCUGGGUUACAAGGUGGAAAGGCACCUCAUUGAUGGAGAUUUUGUUCUUUUCAACCGGCAGCCCAGUCUUCACAAAGUGUCUAUCAUGGGGCAUCGCUUCAAAAUCAUGCCUUACUCAACUUUCCGCCUCAACUUGUCUGUCACAUCGCCAUACAAUGCAGAUUUUGAUGGGGAUGAAAUGAAUAUGCAUGUUCCCUAGUCAUUUAAAACCAGAGCUGAGGUUUUAGAGUUGAUGAUGGUGCCAAAGUGUAUUGUCUCACCUCAAGCGAAUAGACCUGUUAUGGGUAUUGUCCAAGACACACUUCUUGGCUGUCGAAAAAUUACCAAAAGGGAUACUCUCAUCGAAAAGGAUGUAUUCAUGAACAUCUUAAUGUGGUGGGAAGAUUUUGAUGGGAAGGUCCCUGCCCCUGCUAUUUUGAAACCAAGGCCAAUUUGGACUGGCAAACAAGUUUUCAACUUGAUUAUCCCCAAGCAAAUCAAUUUAAUUAGAUUUUCAGCCUGGCAUGACGCUGAUGCUGAAAAAGAACAUACAAUUGCCCACUAGACAUACUUUGUUAAUGGAGACAAGUUCAAAGGCAACUGGUGUGACAUAUACCAUCACUGGUGUUAUAGAGGAAGUUGCUGACACCAAGCUUAAAAUAACUCAGCUUCCUGUCCGCCGCUGGACUACAGAUUACAAAGAGUUUCUUGAAUCCAUGUGUCCUAUUCCUAUCAAGGAAAAGGAAAAGAGCAAGGACAAGAAAAGGGAAAAGAAGAAGGACAAGGACAAGGACAAGGAAAAGGAAAAGAGCAAGGAACCGCCAUUGUUAGAGGAAAUAAGGUCGCAGUGUGAUCACGCGGAUGUGGAAUUUGAGCUUAUACUGAGUGAGCAAAACAUGAAUAUAGCUAAGCAAGAAGGCCUUGAGAAGAAAUUCAAGCUGACUACCACAAUAGGAACAACAAACAUGCAUUUGUUUGAUUCAUAUGGUAAAACAAAAAAAUAUGACACCCCAGAGGAUGGUGAGUAUCCCUAACACGGGCCUGUAUUAUAGCAACAAAUCCUUUUACUUGUGGUUUUGGCACUGUCAUUAUGUUAACUUUUCAGUACUUCAAGAGUUCUUUGAUUUUAGUUAUAUCUUGUAAGCUAUAGAAAAUAGUAGUAUGAUCUGUUUGUCUGCAGAUGGUCACCAAAUGAUUGUUCCGUCUGUGCUGAUCCGCGAGAUCCUGAAGUUGAUGCAGGAAGAGUGGCCCUGUUAGGUGUUACUGGUAAUCCAAACUUGUAUUAGCAUUAAACUGAUGGAUAUAGUAGGUAUGAUGAGUGGGAUGUGAAAGGUGCAAUAAGGAGACAUCAAUAGAUUGAUUGUUUAUAUUAUAUAACCAUAACAUACUUUUAGUUUUGAAAUUAUGAUUUGAGCGUAUGAUUAAA